AUUAUCUCGGGCUACAUGGGCGAACAGCGUUGGGGUUGCAUCAAACAAAGGAGUCCCGACAUUGUUAGGGUGUGUGCUCCUACCAUUAGGUGAAUUAGUACAAUCAGCCUGUUUGUCUGUUGUUCCCACCGGAGGAAACUCGGCAUUCAACUCGUUUAAUGACUGCGUGAUGCUAUCAACAGCUGCAAUCGUAAAAAAAGAAAAGAUGAUGUAAGUAAAAAUGGAUAGUUCAGAAAAACAACACGAUGAAGUUCAUAUAUAAAAUACAACCUGACUUGGUGGAAAAAAUAAGGUAUAUAUUACACUGUUAGAAAUGACAGAAAGAGACACACAGGACUAGCACAGUAAAAUGCCUUGAUACAGGUUCAAAUCAAACAAAAAUGUGAAGUUAACGGCAUAAGGGGCACAUCGAACACAUGUGAAGUUCGCAAAGCAAACAUAGACGGCAGGGAGGUUCACAUUUAAAUCCUUGAGCAGUUCACAUGACAGUAAUUUUGCAAACCCAACUUUAAAAAAUGAACAGGCAACCUAAUAUGAAGUUCACAUGACAACAUAGACAGCAGGAAGUUCACCUUACAGCAAACAAAAAAGUUCACAUCUAAUCCUGAUGAAAGUUCACAUAUCAGCACAUGAGGUAAAUUAAAAAAAACAAGCCAUUGCAGAUGCCAGAGCUUCGCUCAUACAACAUAUACAGCAUGUGAAGUUAACAGCAUAAGCAGCACAUCUAACACAUCUGAAGUUCACAAAGCGACAUAGGCAGCAGGAGGUUCACACUUAAUCCUUAAAGCAGUUCACAAGCAGGUAAAAUUGCAAUCCAGCUUUAUAAAUGCCUAUAUGAAGUUCACAUGACAACAUGGACAUCAUGAAGUUCACAUUUCAGUAACAGAGAAGUUCACAUCUAAUCCUUAUGAAAGUUCACAUAUCAGCACAUGGGAUAAAUUAAAAAACAAGCAAUUGCAGAUGCCAGAGCUUCACUCAUACAACAUAUACAGCAUGUGAAGUUAACAGCAUAAGGAGCACAUCUAACACAUCUGAAGUUCGCAAAGCAACAUAGCCAGCAGGAGGUUCACACUUAAUCCUUAAAGCAGUGCACAAGCAAAUAAAAUUGCAACCCAGCUUUAUAAAUGCCUAUAUGAAGUUCACAGGACAACAUGGACAGCAGGAAGUUCACAUUUCAGUAACAGGAAGUUCAUAGUUGACACAUAUGGAAGUUCGCAUAUCAGUGCAACGGCUAAAUCUCAGAACCAACAAAAUACAGAAGGAGGUUCACAUUUAGCACACAUGAAGUUCACAUGCGAGUAAAAAUAUUAGUAAAUCAUAUACACCUACCUGAUUCUAAUGCAAGCAACACUUUGUACAAAUCUACAACAUCAAGCACUCAAACAAAAAAUAAAUAUGAAACAUCUAUUUACAACAAUGUGGUGACAUUGAAAACCCUAAAAUCAUAAGCACAUAAGCAACCAAAAAAACAAGCACAACCUAAAAAUCGCGCGCAUUCACAGUAAGAGGUGGGCAAGGGAGGGGUGCGAGAGGGAGCAUACCAUCGAAUAAGUUCGGAGAACCACUAUCCAUUGACGGCGAUAAAACAAUGUUUCUAAUAAUCCAAUGUUUCAUGGAAUGAUAAAACACAUGG
This 1633-nucleotide long non-coding RNA is filed under the name Brachypodium distachyon (stiff brome). RNAcentral's name for it is "long non-coding RNA (BDIS_LNC000552)". The record is from RNAcentral. Lineage: Eukaryota; Viridiplantae; Streptophyta; Magnoliopsida; Poales; Poaceae.